CUUUGGGGAUGUGCAGAGGAAGCAGAUGGAGAAGAAACUUGUGGUCACAGCAUGUAAUGACAGCACGAGAGGAAACCAACUCCAAUGAAUGGAGAAAAAAUGGUGGAAUGACCUUCUAAAGGCCGCAGAAGGAGUUGAAACUGAGAUGAGAUCAAGGAGCUCCUGACUACCCUGCCCCCAGGGAAAACAUCAGAUUGUUCUGCAUCUCUCUUCUGCAACUAUUGCACUGACAAAGGCCUUUUGCCACACUCACAUAAGCGUGUCUACAAGAUGGAUUUUUAUGACUGCAGUGGAAUUUGGGAGAUGGCCGGGACACUUUGGUUUCCAGCAAUCCCAUAUCAUACUUCCCUCAUGUGCUUCUCUCUCUCCUGCCUCUAUGCAUUUUUCAAUAAACCGGCAAAAUUACCCAUGAGCAAGGCUGUAAGGGACAGCACAGAGCCAGUGAAAUCAUACGCCUCCUGUGCUUGUAUAGUUAGCAGCAAGUGUAUAUAACACAGCCCUGCCCUUCCUCUUCUAAUGAAAGUGGCUCGCCACCAGGAAAAGCAGUAACACCCUUGUUUUACACCACCUCCACAAAGUUAUGAGAAGGUGUACAAUUUUGUAUGGUUUUUCUAAGAAAUGGAAGAUCUUCCAAGCAAGGCUCAAGAAAGAGAAUCACCCUAUAAGUCAGUGUUGGAAACGCAGACUGGAAAAUCAAGUGCCGACUUUGCAUUGUCGCAGAUAAUAGAUGGUGAAUGGUGGGCUCAAGUUUAGUGACAUGCACUUCGGCUGUGCAGAGUUACUCGUGUUAGACUACUGUAACAUGAAAAGGAUCGUUCACGUGGCACAGCAAGAUGGUACAGUUAGAUGCAUGCACCACACAGCCAUUUAUUUGGCUUCUGUCCGUUCCUCGCUGGGAAUUAAACUGAGAAGAAAUUCUCUUCCAAGGUUUGAAAAGCAUCUGCAAAAGUUAGAAACUCCUAGGGAAAAAAAACAACAAAAAAAAGAAAAACACAAACACAAAACAGCUUAUUUGUUCAUCCAUCAUAUUUUCCAG
RNAcentral lists this long non-coding RNA (1036 nucleotides) under Gallus gallus (chicken). Its description in RNAcentral is "lncRNA (ENSGALG00010020722.1)". Lineage: Eukaryota; Metazoa; Chordata; Aves; Galliformes; Phasianidae. The record is from RNAcentral.